UAAUGGUUGCCAUAAAACAGCUCUGUAUCUCGUUUGCAGUGUUAUUAGUUCCCACCAACCCUCAACCGAGUACAUCAAGUACAUCUCCUACACCUCUGAAUGAAGAACCACCUACAGCGAAUGGCAACCCACCGACAGAUAAUGAAGAGCCAUCUUCAAAUAACGACCCAAGUACAGCUAAUGGAGAGUCAACUUCAAACAACGACCCGCCAACAGAAACCGAAGAGCCAGCUUCAGAUAGUGACCCACAAACAACUAAUGAAGAGUAACCAAGUAAUGACCCACCAACAGCUGAUAGAGCUGUUAAGGACCACUUAAAGGACCACCUUCAAGCAUUGACCCACCAACUGAAAGCGAAUGGCCUGCAUCGCACUAGAAACAUGUCCAUGCACUAUUACAACAUAUAUCAUUAUAUAUUGGA
This 421-nucleotide unclassified non-coding RNA is filed under the name Homalodisca vitripennis (glassy-winged sharpshooter). Its description in RNAcentral is "peroxisomal membrane protein PEX14-like, transcript variant X2". Lineage: Eukaryota; Metazoa; Arthropoda; Insecta; Hemiptera; Cicadellidae. The record is from RNAcentral.